ACGGGAGGCAGCAGUGGGGGAUAUUGCACAAUGGGGGAAACCCUGAUGCAGCGACGCCGCGUGAGUGAUGAAGUAUUUCGGUAUGUAAAGCUCUAUCAACAGGGAAGAUAAUGACGGUACCUGACUAAGAAGCACCGGCUAAAUACGUGCCAGCAGCCGCGGUAAUACGUAUGGUGCAAGCGUUAUCCGGAUUUACUGGGUGUAAAGGGAGCGUAGACGGCAAGGCAAGCCAGAUGUGAAAGGCUGAGGCUCAACCCCGGGACUGCAUUUGGAACUGUCUAGCUAGAGUAUCGGAGAGGUAAGUGGAAUUCCUAGUGUAGCGGUGAAAUGCGUAGAUAUUAGGAGGAACACCAGUGGCGAAGGCGGCUUACUGGACGAUAACUGACGUUGAGGCUCGAAAGCGUGGGGAGCAAACAGGAUUAGAUACCCUGGUA
This 434-nucleotide ribosomal RNA is filed under the name uncultured bacterium. RNAcentral describes it as "partial 16S ribosomal RNA". It matches the Rfam family "Bacterial small subunit ribosomal RNA", at positions 341 to 792 of the family's 1533-position model. The record is from RNAcentral.